GAUGAACGCUGGCGGCGUGCUUAACACAUGCAAGUCGAACGGUGAAGCAGAGCUUUCUCUCUUUCUCGGUGGCUUACGGGUGAGUAACACAUGAGCAACCUGCCCCUGACGCUGGGGUAAGCGCUGGAUACGGCCUCUAAUUCUUGCUAUAUACUGCUACCGCAUGGUUAAUAUCUGCUCAGAUUUUUCGGUCUGGGCUGGGCCCACGGCCUAUCAGCUUUUUGGUGAGGUUAUUGCUCACCCAGGCGACGACGGGUAGCCGGCCUGAGAGGGUGACAGGCCACACUGGGACUGAGACACGGCCCAGACUCAUACGGGAGGAAGCAGUGGGGAAUAGUGCACAAAGGGCGAAAGCCGGAUGCAGCAACGCCGGGUGGGGGAUGACGGCCGUCGGGUUGUAAAGCGCGUGUGGCAGGGAAGAAGCGAAAGUGACGGUACCUGCAGAAAAAGCGCCGGCUAACUACGUG
This 467-nucleotide ribosomal RNA is filed under the name uncultured bacterium. RNAcentral's name for it is "partial 16S ribosomal RNA". It matches the Rfam family "Bacterial small subunit ribosomal RNA", at positions 28 to 507 of the family's 1533-position model. The record is from RNAcentral.